RNAcentral lists this ribosomal RNA (689 nucleotides) under uncultured eukaryote. Its description in RNAcentral is "SSU rRNA". It matches the Rfam family "Eukaryotic small subunit ribosomal RNA", at positions 600 to 1295 of the family's 1831-position model. The record is from RNAcentral.
UAUAUUAAGUUGUUGCGGUUAAAAAGCUCGUAGUUGGAUUUCUGUUGAGGACGGCCGGUCCGCACUAUGUGCGUGUAUCUGGUUCGGCCUUGGCAUCCUCUUGAGGAACGUUCCUGCGCUUGAUUGCGUGGGGCGGUAUUCAAGACUUUUACUUUGAGGAAAUUAGAGUGUUCACGGCAGGCAAGCGCCUUGAAUACAUUAGCAUGGAAUAAUAAUAUAGGAUCUUGGUUCUAUUUGUUGGUUUCUAGGGCUAAGGUAAUGAUUAAUAGGGAUAAUUGGGGGCAUUUGUAUUAACGCGUCAGAGGUGGAAUUCUUGGAUUGCGUUACGACAAACUACUGCGAAAGCAUUUGCCAAGGAUGUUUUCAUUGAUCAAGAACGAAAGUAUGGGGAUCGAAGAUGAUUAGAUACCGUCGUAGUCUAUACCAUAAACUAUGCCGACUAGGGAUUGGAGGUCGUUCUUUUUAUGACUCCUUCAGCACCUUAUGAGAAAUCAAAGUCUUUGGGUUCCGGGGGGAGUAUAGUCGCAAGGCUGAAACUUAAAGGAAUUGACGGAAGGGCACCACCAGGAGUGGAGCCUGCGGCUUAAUUUGACUCAACACGGGGAAACUCACCAGGUCCAGACAUAGUAAGGAUUGACAGAUUGAUAGCUCUUUCUUGAUUCUAUGGGUGGUGGUGCAUGGCCGUUCUU